Molecule: long non-coding RNA, 557 nt
Organism: Stylophora pistillata
Lineage: Eukaryota; Metazoa; Cnidaria; Anthozoa; Scleractinia; Pocilloporidae
Source: RefSeq, a predicted model, not a curated record
AGGAUCAUGAUAGGCUAGUAGAGAGCUUAAGCAUCGGACGUUUUUGAUUCACGGACGUCAACCGGAAGUUUAAAUAUGAGCUUCGCAAUCAGUACGCAUGUGCAGACGUUUUUGACGUGAGGUUGCAGACGUGAAAGUGGGAUGUUUGCCGUGCGUGUUGUUUUGCUUUGUUUCAGGACUGUCUCAGUACAAGACUGACAUCAUGUCUUCAUUUUCAAUCGUCAAAUCAAACCCUGGGCCUAUGGAAUGGUCUGAACAGCACGACGUAGCACUAAUGAAAGAAGUCAGAGUGCAGAAUCCGUUUAAAGCAAAGAAGAAAACGAGCAACCGAGCGCAAAUAUGGCUGUCGAUCGCAGAGGCGCUAAGUGGAUUACAAGAUCCGUUAUUCAAGGAUUCAAUGACAAAAGGAUCAGUGCAAGAUCGUUACGUUUUGUAGUGCAGCCCCUUUAUUCGAUAUAGCAUCCGUGUAGGUGUUGAAGUCACGUGGAUUCAGUAGAUCAUGAUUCCACUGACACAGUUUGUGACCAUGUAUAUCGUAAAUAUAAUUCAUCACCGUA